CGUAGGGUGAACCUGCGGAAGGAUCAUUACCGAGUGUAGGGUUCCUAGCGAGCCCAACCUCCCACCCGUGUUUACUGUACCUUAGUUGCUUCGGCGGGCCCGCCAUUCAUGGCCGCCGGGGGCUCUCAGCCCCGGGCCCGCGCCCGCCGGAGACACCACGAACUCUGUCUGAUCUAGUGAAGUCUGAGUUGAUUGUAUCGCAAUCAGUUAAAACUUUCAACAAUGGAUCUCUUGGUUCCGGCAUCGAUGAAGAACGCAGCGAAAUGCGAUAACUAGUGUGAAUUGCAGAAUUCCGUGAAUCAUCGAGUCUUUGAACGCACAUUGCGCCCCCUGGUAUUCCGGGGGGCAUGCCUGUCCGAGCGUCAUUGCUGCCCAUCAAGCACGGCUUGUGUGUUGGGUCGUCGUCCCCUCUCCGGGGGGGACGGGCCCCAAAGGCAGCGGCGGCACCGCGUCCGAUCCUCGAGCGUAUGGGGCUUUGUCACCCGCUCUGUAGGCCCGGCCGGCGCUUGCCGAACGCAAAUCAAUCUUUUCCAGGUGACCUCGGAUCAGGUAGGUUCCCGU
Molecule: ribosomal RNA, 561 nt
Filed under: Aspergillus sp. OXL4
Lineage: Eukaryota; Fungi; Ascomycota; Eurotiomycetes; Eurotiales; Aspergillaceae
Description: eukaryotic LSU rRNA
Rfam family: 5.8S ribosomal RNA (bases 212-365)
Source: RNAcentral